Molecule: ribosomal RNA, 253 nt
Filed under: uncultured bacterium
Lineage: Bacteria
Description: partial 16S ribosomal RNA
Rfam family: Bacterial small subunit ribosomal RNA
Source: RNAcentral
UACGUAGGUGACAAGCGUUGUCCGGAAUUAUUGGGCGUAAAGGGAGCGCAGGCGGUUGGAAUAGUCUGAUGUGAAAGCCCACGGCUUAACCGUGGAAGGUCAUUGGAAACUGUCCAACUUGAAUGCAGAAGAGGUAAGUGGAAUUCCAUGUGUAGCGGUGAAAUGCGUAGAUAUAUGGAGGAACACCAGUGGCGAAGGCGACUUACUGGUCUGUAAUUGACGCUGAGGCUCGAAAGCGUGGGUAGCGAACAGG